UUAAGCGACUAAGCGUACACGGUGGAUGCCCUGGCAGUCAGAGGCGAUGAAGGACGUGCUAAUCUGCGAUAAGCGUCGGUGAGGUGAUAUGAACCGUUAUAACCGGCGAUUUCCGAAUGGGGAAACCCAGUGUGUUUCGACACACUAUCAUUAACUGAAUCCAUAGGUUAAUGAGGCGAACCGGGGGAACUGAAACAUCUAAGUACCCCGAGGAAAAGAAAUCAACCGAGAUUCCCCCAGUAGCGGCGAGCGAACGGGGAGGAGCCCAGAGCCUGAAUCAGUGUGUGUGUUAGUGGAAGCGUCUGGAAAGGCGCGCGAUACAGGGUGACAGCCCCGUACACAAAAAUGCACAUGCUGUGAGCUCGAUGAGUAGGGCGGGACACGUGGUAUCCUGUCUGAAUAUGGGGGGACCAUCCUCCAAGGCUAAAUACUCCUGACUGACCGAUAGUGAACCAGUACCGUGAGGGAAAGGCGAAAAGAACCCCGGCGAGGGGAGUGAAAAAGAACCUGAAACCGUGUACGUACAAGCAGUGGGAGCCUCUUAAUGGGGUGACUGCGUACCUUUUGUAUAAUGGGUCAGCGACUUAUAUUCUGUAGCAAGGUUAACCGAAUAGGGGAGCCGAAGGGAAACCGAGUCUUAACUGGGCGUUAAGUUGCAGGGUAUAGACCCGAAACCCGGUGAUCUAGCCAUGGGCAGGUUGAAGGUUGGGUAACACUAACUGGAGGACCGAACCGACUAAUGUUGAAAAAUUAGCGGAUGACUUGUGGCUGGGGGUGAAAGGCCAAUCAAACCGGGAGAUAGCUGGUUCUCCCCGAAAGCUAUUUAGGUAGCGCCUCGUGAAUUCAUCUCCGGGGGUAGAGCACUGUUUCGGCAAGGGGGUCAUCCCGACUUACCAACCCGAUGCAAACUGCGAAUACCGGAGAAUGUUAUCACGGGAGACACACGGCGGGUGCUAACGUCCGUCGUGAAGAGGGAAACAACCCAGACCGCCAGCUAAGGUCCCAAAGUCAUGGUUAAGUGGGAAACGAUGUGGGAAGGCCCAGACAGCCAGGAUGUUGGCUUAGAAGCAGCCAUCAUUUAAAGAAAGCGUAAUAGCUCACUGGUCGAGUCGGCCUGCGCGGAAGAUGUAACGGGGCUAAACCAUGCACCGAAGCUGCGGCAGCGACACUAUGUGUUGUUGGGUAGGGGAGCGUUCUGUAAGCCUGUGAAGGUGGCCUGUGAGGGUUGCUGGAGGUAUCAGAAGUGCGAAUGCUGACAUAAGUAACGAUAAAGCGGGUGAAAAGCCCGCUCGCCGGAAGACCAAGGGUUCCUGUCCAACGUUAAUCGGGGCAGGGUGAGUCGACCCCUAAGGCGAGGCCGAAAGGCGUAGUCGAUGGGAAACAGGUUAAUAUUCCUGUACUUGGUGUUACUGCGAAGGGGGGACGGAGAAGGCUAUGUUGGCCGGGCGACGGUUGUCCCGGUUUAAGCGUGUAGGCUGGUUUUCCAGGCAAAUCCGGAAAACCAAGGCUGAGGCGUGAUGACGAGGCACUACGGUGCUGAAGUGACAAAUGCCCUGCUUCCAGGAAAAGCCUCUAAGCAUCAGGUAACAUCAAAUCGUACCCCAAACCGACACAGGUGGUCAGGUAGAGAAUACCAAGGCGCUUGAGAGAACUCGGGUGAAGGAACUAGGCAAAAUGGUGCCGUAACUUCGGGAGAAGGCACGCUGAUAUGUAGGUGAAGCGACUUGCUCGUGGAGCUGAAAUCAGUCGAAGAUACCAGCUGGCUGCAACUGUUUAUUAAAAACACAGCACUGUGCAAACACGAAAGUGGACGUAUACGGUGUGACGCCUGCCCGGUGCCGGAAGGUUAAUUGAUGGGGUUAGCGGUAACGCGAAGCUCUUGAUCGAAGCCCCGGUAAACGGCGGCCGUAACUAUAACGGUCCUAAGGUAGCGAAAUUCCUUGUCGGGU
This 1949-nucleotide ribosomal RNA is filed under the name human gut metagenome. RNAcentral describes it as "bacterial LSU rRNA". It matches the Rfam family "Bacterial large subunit ribosomal RNA", at positions 1 to 1977 of the family's 2925-position model. The record is from RNAcentral.